This 319-nucleotide long non-coding RNA is filed under the name Malus domestica (apple). Its description in RNAcentral is "long non-coding RNA (MDOM_LNC012993)". The record is from RNAcentral. Lineage: Eukaryota; Viridiplantae; Streptophyta; Magnoliopsida; Rosales; Rosaceae.
ACUAGUCACUCUCCCUGAGAGAAGACACAGUACGUACUGAUCUUAACAGACUGUCAAUGCCCAAUUGGCAAUCCUAUGAUCAGGAACAUUUAGGAUGUGUCUACGAAAGAAUUGUCUCAUGAAUCUAACUUCUUUAGAUCGUAUUCUCCCAAUCACAUAUUCCUUGGACUUUAUCGUUUAAGCAUAUAACAUUUAUAUGAGACGGCUCAAACAAUAAUGUUUGCCCUUUAUAGUUAAACUAGAUUAGUUUAACGUGUGAAAUGUCCGUAAAGUAUCAUCAUAUGAUUGGUUUUAGGGCACAUUUCCAACAAUCUCCCAC